Long non-coding RNA from Etheostoma spectabile (orangethroat darter), 1016 nucleotides. RefSeq lists it as uncharacterized. The transcript has 4 exons. The record is from RefSeq and is a predicted model, not a curated record. Lineage: Eukaryota; Metazoa; Chordata; Actinopteri; Perciformes; Percidae.
UUGAGCUUGCCAGCAUUAGAACGGAAUGAGACAAUGGGCUCCACAAGCUCCAGACCCGGGCUGAGCAAAGUAGCUCCAAGUAAUAGACUGCGAGAAGAGGGGGCAAAGCAUGAACCACAAUGGACCCUCCCUGCUCUACCAGUCACUGUGGAGCUGCCAUCAGGAUCUCUGGGACCGAGGAAGACAAUCUUACCUCCACUGAGACACAAAAUAACUCUUUCCUCAUUCUCAGGGCAGGAACUGCAGAGAUGGGGGUGUCCACCUGUUUUCUGCAAUUGGUCAGACAGGACACUCCAGCACCGGCAGAAGGAUUCAGGGAGGAUUCCUAGAGGCCCAGACAGCUCUUACACAACAGGCUCAUCGUUAUCGGCGAGCUCGCUUCCAACAAGCCAGAGAGCACAGAAGACGUAAAGUUGUCUACUCAGUUAAUGUUGGAGAAACAAAUACAGAAGGCAACCAGAGGCUGAAACUUGUGAGAAGGUCCACAUAGAGGGACAUCUUCCUGGAUGAGACCACAAGAGAAAGUCUAGACCCUAGCAGCCUUCUAGACUCAAAAUCUCUGCCUCACCUCUGUAAAGCAAGACAGAGUAACCAGCCAGACAAACUGCUUCUGUGCAGCAAAGAAGAUGAGAUCCAGACAGAUCAAACUCAAGGUCCCACAAACGCAGUAGAAAGAACUCAACAAACUGGACACAAAGGACUGUCUUUAGACCAAAACCUAGCCUGGACAACUGAAAUAGUGAGAAUAGAAGACAGGGGUAAAAGACAGAGGGAUAGCUGGAUAUUGCCUGAGUCAGCCAGAAGCUGUCAGAAAGCGAGGAUAACAGGUGCCGGAGGGAUCUGGGACAAUAAGCUGGACUAAGAACACUUGCAAUAUAAACAAAACACUUGAUGUCCUGGGGAUACUUUCAUACAUGCCUGAGAUUAUGUUGCCCUCUAUAGGUAAAAGCAGUGGGAACACUUGCUGCCCAAGCAGUGAGUCUGAAGCUCAUUUAGCAUUCCUACAAUUUUGAUAG